CUGCCAAGCCCAAGCCAGCGGCGUCCGGCAGCCCCUGGUACGGGGCCGACCGCGUCCUGUACCUGGGUCCGUUCUCCGGCGAGCCCCCAAGCUACCUGACCGGCGAGUUCCCCGGCGACUACGGCUGGGACACUGCCGGGCUGUCUGCGGACCCCGAGACCUUCGCCAAGAACCGCGAGCUGGAGGUGAUCCACUGCCGCUGGGCCAUGCUCGGCGCGCUCGGGUGCGUGUUCCCGGAGCUGCUCGCCCGCAACGGCGUCAAGUUCGGCGAGGCCGUGUGGUUCAAGGCGGGCUCCCAGAUCUUCAGCGAGGGCGGGCUGGACUACCUCGGCAACCCGAGCUUGAUCCACGCGCAGAGCAUCCUGGCCAUCUGGGCGUGCCAGGUGGUGCUCAUGGGCGCCGUCGAGGGGUACCGCGUCGCCGGUGGCCCGCUCGGAGAGGUGGUCGAUCCUCUGUACCCUGGCGGCAGCUUCGACCCGCUUGGGCUCGCCGACGACCCGGAGGCGUUCGCGGAGCUGAAGGUGAAGGAGAUCAAGAACGGCCGCCUCGCCAUGUUCUCCAUGUUCGGCUUCUUCGUGCAGGCUAUCGUCACCGGCAAGGGUCCCCUUGAGAACCUCGCCGACCACCUCGCCGACCCUGUCAACAACAACGCCUGGGCGUACGCCACCAACUUCGUCCCCGGCAAGUGAGCGAGGGCAUGCUUGUACCGUAGACAUACGUAUCCGUAUGUACUGCAGGGUGUACCAGUAUUUGUGAAGGGAGCUUGGGUCAGAGAUUGUACCAGUAGUGUAUUUGUAUGCAUGUUCUGACCUGAUCAAUAAAAUAUGCUGUAAAUUGUAUAUGUCUUUAUUUAUGCAUACUGUACAUGAUUGUUCAGACAAUCGUUCGAUCAAGUGGGAGUUUUGAUGAAGUUGCAGCAAAGUUCAGUGAGCACGUCCUAAAUCAAACAACAGGUAGCAGACUUAUCCCUUCCAUGCUCUGGUUUUACAGUGGCGGCAACCUGAUAACAAUACAGUAUUUGACCAUGGCACACUGGCAGCUUAAUCAACUAUUUCGCCUUAUAUACAUAGAAAAGCCUUUUAACGAUUUUUUAAGAUGUGCCAUCAAAGUUAAGAUGUGCAUAUCUUGGUCCCAAGGACCAGAAGAACUACAGAUCUCAAAAGUUAAGCACCAACUGCAACUUUCAGCAAAAAAUAGGUUGCAAGCGUAGCUGAUGCUGACAACGACAAUUGGAGGUAAAUUCACGUGGAGACCUGUGGAAAAGAUAUGGCCACUACAUAAAACUCAAAACCCACGCACCAAAAGACCAAAACUAAAUUUAUUUCUGGCACUGAACGAGUCAGACUGAAAUUGUCUCUGCCAGUAGAAGUGAAGGGACUACAUAUCCACUCCGGCAGAUAUGGCCACUAUAGAAGCCUAACAAUCACACUACCUGACUUGUUGCAACUUGUGGCACUUGGGGAGUUCUUACAAUUACAUCGAUCUCAACAGUCACGUGAAUGACAAGAGAAACUUACAACUGCAGUCACCUCUCUGCCCAUGUGAACGGCACCUGACGAUGAAAAUGAUAGCUACGGGAUACUGAAAACGUUACUGCCAUUCCAACGUUACAGACCCCUGAAGAGUUUUAGUUGAAAAUACAGACCCCUGAAGAAGGCUGUGAUCUGAAUGACGCCCUGGAGUUUCUUCAGAGGUGGGCAUGGUAUGACCAGGCUGCUACAUCCGUUCGCUCUUUGUCUGCAUGGAUCAAGGGGGAUCAGCAAUGCCACUCGUGUGGUAGGAAUUGAUGAGUCUUGAUGUGAUGGAUUUGCUUUGCUAAACUUAUAUUUUGAUUUUGCUACUACAUGGUGCAAAGAGAAACCAGGUGGUAACCGUGGAGGCACACCGGCUCGUUUUUAGCUUCAAAUGAGAAGUACCUUCCCAGUUUCUUAACUGAUAAAUUAAAUGCCAAACUUUCUAACAUCAACUUCCAGGUCAUAUUACAUAGCUGGAUGCAGUCAAACAUUCAGAAAAAAAAAGGAAUAGUUCGUUCUGAACAUAGUAGUAUUACACUUUUUUUUAUUCUGUGCUUAUAUAUAGUAUAGCACUUUGGCAACUAGGCAAUUUGUUCAGUAUACCCAUAGUAAAAACCUUUUCACGAACAAUGAAUUCUAACUUCCAUUGGUGAAUCAUUGAAAUAGUAAUCACCUUUGUCAUAUAUGAGAUCAGCGGCUCUCGGAGGCAAGUCAUUCCUUAUUAAGACCCCUUCCCUAACCUUGGCAUGUGUCUCAGCGUCGUGCUGGAACAUUGAGACUAGCUGCUGGAGCUCCAAUUUUCUCACCUGAACCUGUUGAUCGCUGAUCGGAUUUUGCAGCCCAAAAUAGAUAUUCCCGGCGAUGAUCAACAGGAGACCUACUAAGAACAGAAGACCAGAGAACAAUGCAAAAGCAUACUGAGUGUUCUUGGCUCCAGGUAUCCCGUCGACAUUGAUACCAAACAGUCCUGUGAUGAUGGACAGAAUGAGGCCGCACCCGCCGAAUAUUGUCAGGUUGUGUGUAAUGCGAAGGCUUUUGUCCUGAAAAUACCAAAACGACAGAGUUCCUUUUACAUAAUCGGUAUUUCAGUUAUCCAGUAUCAGUAGGAUGUACUAGGCACAUAGAAAUUCUUGGGUUCAGAAUCCCUUUCCACCAGCACCAGAAAUUGUAGCAAUGUAGCAUGUGUUUACCUGCAACCAAGCACGGACAGUGCUCUGCAUCACAUCCUGAAUGGUGAACAGCCGACCCCGGACAGCCUCUUGUUCUUCGAUCAUUUUCCUUGCAUCUUUCUUUACAUCCUCAAGCAAGGAUUGUGUGGUGCUUCCCCCUAGAUACUUUAGGAGUUCAAAUAUUAUCUCCUCUCUAGCAUGUAGUGACCAUUUCACUCUGAUAACCUAGUAAUUAAGUACAUUGCAGAGUUAGAUGCUGUGGUUACAGAGUUGUGCUAGUACUCCUGUAGGGGUUUUCUUGGGUUUUCCUCACUAAAAAACAUGGGCCGAUUUGCUCAGUCGAUCUGUUAGUCAAGUUGUUAGUUGUGUUGGUUCAACCAAGUUGUUUUUUGAGCGAAUUGUGGAGUUGAGCAAGUUAGUUUGUCGACCGUUGCACUGAAGUUGCGAGGAUGGUGUGGGCGCACCCGCCCCCACUAGUUUAGUUGUUUUGGGGCACAUUUUUCACUCAUAAAAACUGGGCCAGCAUUUUUUUAUCCUUGUAAUAAAAUUACAGUAAAUCUUCCUUUUGAAUAAAAACAUACAUACCUGGGUGGCCAACCUUCUAAUGUCUUGGUUGAAGAUUAUACAUAGCAGGUUCAGGUCAUCUUCAUUUCGCCUGAGAAUGCCCAUAUAGAAUUCUAGUUACAGAGAAAAACCAAUUCAGAGAAGUUGAACAUGGGAGUGUAACUUACCUGUUUACAAAUUUAAGUUCAAUUUCAUCAGCUGCACCAAAUACGUAUUUGCGCCAUAGUCUACAUAUGUAAAAAUAAAAUGCUUCAAUCACAAAGUUUAAGUACCGAUGGUACAAAAUUAGAGUUUUAUGCAUAUUAGCAUAUUGAAUAGCACCAUCAGAUCCACCUGUCAUCCCAUCGAGCAAGCCGGGAAGCCAAAUGUGCUAUAACUUCAUGAAUACUCUUGGGAACUGUGCUUCCACAGGUAGAAAGAAGCUCCUGAAAAAAUAGAAGACAUAUUUGACAGUACUACAAUUUUCAACCUCAAAAUUGCACGUAAUCCAAUUUCUAACUCUGAAAUAUGAAAAUGGACAACGGACAUCCUUCGAAUGUCAAAAUUGGACAAAUUUGGUCCUCUGGUGGGUUUUGUCAGACUUCCAAGGGUGAAUUUUAUAUUUUCUAAAACAAUAAAAAUCUAUUUUGAUUUCUAAAACUUCAUGACUAAUUUAUUUUAAAUAAAAAAUAUAUGAAAUUAGUUCCUGUUUCGUUAUUAAAAUAUUAUAUAUUUGUCGGUGCCCUACUUACAGUUAUUUGGAUCUUAUUUGUUUUAUAAACAAAUAAUGAGCACGGCUACAAGAAAUAGAACAAUAGAACAGAAAAUAAACUACUUCCAAAUAACUAUAUGCAGAUCAUUAACAUGUAGAUAACAUUUCUAGAAAAAUAAUCGGUACUAGUUUGAUAUUUUCCUGAUUGAAAAUAAAUGAAUUAUGAAUUUUUAGAGGUCAAACUAGAUUUUUUAUAUAUGAUUUUGGGAAAUACUAGGGACCAGUCCCGACAGUUGGUGGCUGGCCAUUAGCGGGUUAAAAAUCACAAUGUAGAAACUAUGGUAAUUUUCAUAGAUAUUAAUUACACCGCUAAUUUGUUGAUGUGGCAAGUAAUUUAAUGAAGAGAGAGGAAAAAUCCAAGAAACCAGAUCUAACUAAGAAAAUUGAGUUUUCAUGGUUAUGAAUGGACUUACUCGUAGCCCAUUGAAGAGCGAAUAUGGUUUCUAUCACUACUUAUGUCAUAUAUUGUAGAAAAUCUUGUACCGAGAAGAAUGGUUUCUUGGUACAAUGCCCUAUGCUAUAGAAAGUACUACUCUCUCCAUCCCAAAUUGUAAGUCGUUUGACUUUUCUACCCCAAGUUUGACUACUCGUCUUAUUCAAAAAAUUUGUGCAAAUAUAGUCAAAUUUAAGUCAUUCUUGAAGAAUUUUUAUUAAUAAACUAAUACACAACAAAAAAGUAAUAUUUUGUACAAAACUUUGAAUAAGACUAGUGGUCAAACUUGAUAUUAAAAAAAGUUAAACGACUUACAAUUUUGGAAUGGAUUGAGUAAUAGUUUCAUGCACUGGGUUUAAAAGGUGAAAAAUGUACUGACUGAGGAAAAUUGGUCAGGAACACAAAGCUGAUCUCUUCAGAGUAACUGUUGAUUGAUGGUCAUUAGUUCCAUUACCUGGACCUCUGUAACUCCUAUAACGUUGACGUUUGGUGCUGAGCCUUUCACAUGGAGAGCUGUUAUCAGGAAAUUUUGAGCCUGCCAAGCACGGAUGACAAUAGGAAUGUCGUCUUCGUCACGAGUCGGAUCGCCGACCCGAAAAGCAGGCCUCCCGAAACUCUAACAGGAACCUCAUAGAGCAGAUGCUUCAUCUUGUCACUGAUGAGCAUGGUCUCAUCCCUGAGCGCCACGCAGAUUGCCGGGUGCAGCCACCGCGCGCUGGUAGCCAGCCACGCGUCCACGGCCGGGUGCCCCGCUGCGACGUGGCACCACCAGGUCGGACCCGCCGGCCGCUGCCAGUACGGCACGGCGACGUCGGCGACCGUGAUGUCGUCGUCGUCUCUGUCGCCACAGCAGUGAUGAUGGCCGGCGUCCGUGAGGCCGAUCCCCUGCCUCUCGUCGUCCCCGUCGACCAUCGCCGCCAGCUCCGUGAUCCUCGUCCACCCGAUGGGACACCAGUAGCUCUCGGCCGGCAGCGGCCUCCCGUGCCUGCACGCUGGCCUCAUCCUCGGCUCGUCGCCGUCGGUGGAAGAACCUGACGAUUACCAAAAAAAAAAAAUUACUACCGAGCAAGAAACUUGUUAUAUAUGCGACGACACGAUCACGAAGAGGAGACAAGUAUCUGUACCGGAAUCUGUGAUGAUCGGAAGGUCCUUGGAUUGGGAGGAGUUGCUCCGGGAAAGGUCGAUGGGAGGGCUGGCGAAGCCGUGGCCGCGACGGCGAACGAACUCGAAGGCGCAGACGAGGCCGCCGGUCCACAGGUCGGACCACGGCGCCGUGCAGGCUCCAAAGCUGUUCUUGAGUUGCUGCACGUCGUUGAUCGCCGCCGGCGGCCGCCACCUACUGCCGCUGUACCACCCAUGCUUGCCGUCCAUCCCGUACACGUCGGUCGCGUCCUCCUCCCAGAAUCCCGGAGGAAAACGGCCGGGGGUGUCGGCGACUCGGCGUGCGUCGCGUUCGCGAAUCACGUGCAAUGAGUAGUGAGUGGAUGGGCACAAACAAGCGCAUGCGGCUCUUUAAAUGGCGGCAGCCGCCUGCGUACGCCAUGGGACGCUUCUAAGGUCCGGUGUCGAACUGUCGAUCGCGCGGCGCGACACGGUGAGGGGGAUGGGGGCAGUGUCGUCGUCGUCUCGUCACGCGUCGGCGUCGAGGAGGUUGCAGUGCUGCUACUACUACUACUACAUGGACACGGCGGUGCGUUAUGGCAGAAGCGGUCGGAGGGAGACGAAGCGGCACCGGCACGUGACACUGGCCUUUCUGCGUGGGCGUGGCUCCACUUGACCUUGUUCGGUGGUUCCAGGCUUCCAGCCUAUGGAAUACGCGAUGAUUUAGGGCGUCUUUUCAAAUACUCCCUCCUACGAAAGAAUCAAUUUCUAAAAUUCAUGCCAGUCAAAUUUUUUAAAAUUUGAUUAACUAUAUAGAAAAAAGUAACAACAUCUAUGACAUAAAAUACACACCAUAUGAAAAUAUAUUCUAUGAUGAAUAUAAUGAUACUAAUUUGAUACCAUAAAUCUUAGUAUUUUUUCUAAAAAUUUAGUCAAAGUUUAAGAAAUUUGACUUAGGACAACUCUAGAAAUUGAUUAUUUCAUGGAUGGAGGGAGUAGCUAACUAGAUGAAACAUAUAAAUAAAUAAAAUAAAUAAACAUUAUAGUGGAGAGUUAUAUGAGAAAGGUAUUUCUAGAAGGUCGUGUUACAUUAGCUAUUUACAAGUUGCUAGUUAUUUAGGAGUCGUUAGCUAUUUGAUCUCUGUUCUUGAUAGUCAAUACAAGUGUUACUUUUUUUAUUAUUUUUAUACCUCGUCUAGUUAGCUAUUUGUAAAUUGUCAUUAAAAAUAUCAUUAUAGCCAAUGGAAUUCCUUCAAUAAAGUAGGUCUUCUGAAGUUUGAAUUUUGCAAAAUAAAAUACGUCAUGUAUAGAAUUCUCGUAUCAAAGUAUUUACUUCGAUCUAAACACACCGCCUAUUUGUUCGUAAAAAGAAGAUUUUAAGAGACUCUAGACAUAUUUAGAGGCUGUGUCUAUGUAAGAGAGGGCCUCAAAACAAAUGUCGUCUCUAAAAUUCAUUUAAAGUAUCUUUAAAAGUACGUCUUUCUAAAAUUUACUCUCCUAUUUAAGUAAAAAUCACAUUUUAUAUUUUUCUACCCUUCAAUAAUUCAGAGGUCCCCACCUGAAUUUGUAUUGAUCAUAUACUUCCUAAAGCAGUUUUGUUUACAGCUUAGCAGCCUGAUCGAUUUUCUAGCUUUCUUAUUACAUGGCUGCCGAAAAAACACCACACCCUACUUCUACAAUUGGCCUCCGUCGAACUGGAAAUCUCAGCUUCCACAAAGCGGCAUUAGAAAUACAGGCCAUGAGGGUCUGACGAAGGUUUGCUGUCUCAUUUCUGAAGACUGCUCCGUUUCGCCGCUUCCAAAUCUGCCAGCAGCACAGGGGAAAUGAAGGUGCUGAACUGAGUAAGUGGAAUAGAAGCAGGUGUUCAAAUGUUGUGAGAGAAGGUUGUUGCGUCUGGGGGCAGGGCUAUGCCGAUCUUAGCCCAAAACUCCUUGGCAAAAGCACAGCCUGCAAAAAUGUGGUCCAUGCAGCCCACGGAGCUCACACGUCUGGCUAUCGACAAUCUAGCUUCUUCUUCAUUAGGUUCACCCGGCAAUGAGGCCUUGUUUAGUCACUCAAAAACCUAAAAACUUUUUAAGAUUUCUCAUCAUAUCGAAUCUUGUGACACAUGCAUGGAACAUUAAAUAUAGAUAAAAAAACUAAUUACACAUUUUAUCUGUAAUUUGUGAAACAAAUCUUUUGAGUAUAGUUAGUCCAUAGUUGGACAAUACUGUCAAAUAAAAACAAAAGUGUUACAGUCCAAAAACUUUAUACCUCCUUAACUAAACAAGGCCUGAAUGCGUAUGCGUCCCUGCGAGAGCAGCAGCAGCUACAUGAAGAACUGAAGCCUCUUUGGCACAUGACUGCUCCAAAUGAAGGUCGCAGCUGGCACCUGGCAGUGAGUUACCGUCCCUGAACUUGAGCAGCCUGUAAAGACCUCCUGAGUUGAACUUCCCCAGGGGAAGACAGAAGGUUCCCUUCCUGACAUCGUCAUGAUCGCUCAGUUCCGUGCAUGCAAGGAUUGACCUCACUUCAAUCAGGUCGGACACAGGACAAGUGCCAAGUUGUCUUUAGGAACGUAAUUCUGAUAUCAAUAAGAAACAUGCCAAGUUACAACAAGUGCAGUUACAGAAAACUCAAAGUUCAUUCUUAACAAGGAACAAAGCUAACAAGUUUAUUUAUUCAGCAGAAAGUGUAGAGUCAAAUGGAAUCCUCCCACGAACAGUACAGAGGAUUAUUAUAGAUAUAUAGAUAAUGAGAACUGCAAAAAAGCUCCGCCUGCUGGUUCAGGGUCCACCACUAGUUGACCGAAGUUGGCUUAUAGUCGAUUACGAUGACCUUGUCCAACACAGGCAAGAACACAUUUGCGAAUUCAACAUGUUUAGGGUGCUCAAUGUACUCCUUGAUUCCUUCCGUGCUUUCAAAUGUCGAUUCAAAGACAUGCGUGAACCCUUGAUGCAUGUUUUCUAUGCUCACAUCAGUUCCCCUGCAGAUUAAAGAGCACAUGAGGAAUCUGAUAGUUUGAAACAACGCAGUAACCUUGCAUCAAAGAAAUGAGAGAACUACUAAGACACACGAUCGCAUUCGCAUUGAUGUGCUCAAAAUUGCUAGGAUGUGACAAAUGGACAUUCCGGUGAUUGCUAAGAUUUGAAAAAUUGGUACACUCGAGAACAUACAGUUUUGUAAAAGGACCAGGUAGAAGUGAUUCUAUAAAGUUACCAAAGAAUGUUGAUGAUCUGUUCAUUGUAUUUGUUUGAUAAUAUAUAAAUCAUUUGAGUCCCAUGUACACAUUUUAUCACAAACAAGAAGACGCUGAAAGUCUGGAGCAUCUGACACCAGAUAUCACCAACUAGACAGCAUAAUCCAUGUUUGCAAGAACUGCAAAGUGAAAUGCUCAUAAUUGGAAUGAUGGAAUAAUGUCUUGAGAGAGAACAGUUAGCAUGCUUAUUUAAUUUAAUCAAGUGGGCUGGAAAACGAUCAAGGUGAACAGAUUAUGAACUAUUUGUGUGUAUGCCUCAUAUUUUGGAGCAAGAAUUGUAUGCCUUAGAUUGUGAAUUUGUGAUACAAGGGGACACUAUGUGUGUUGACAAUAUCAACAGUAAAACGUCAUGGAAGGUGGAACCAAAUUACUCCAUCUAAGAAAAUUACAAUGCACAGUUUUCCUAAGGUUUGGAAGCAAAGUUAUAACAGCACUGAGAAUGCUUUGGUCAUUUGUCUUGUACUAGGAUUCUUUUUUUUUUAAAAAAAGUUUAUGUACCAGGAUUCUUUCGGUGCCCUGACUUGCCUAGGACUCUCAGCACAGAAGCAACACAAAAGAAAUAGACUGAGUUUGUACCUAGUACAGUGUUGACUAUAUUACUUGCGAGAAAACGGCACUGGAUCAGAGCAAAAGCAAAAUCACAGGGCCAACAAUCAAGAAUUCACAAUCAGUGACGGCGCACGGGGGAGAGUCUCAAACAAAACUGAACUAAACCAGGCACCUAAUUCGUCGAGCACCUGGGGUGCGCCAGGGUCCGGGUGGGUGAGCCGCACAGAACGCACCAGCAGCCGGCAUGGAAUUGAGUCGUAUCAAGGACUAGCAGUGGAGGGUGUUAGUUACCAGUGGAAGGCCUUCAUGGAGGGGACGGCGGCGACGAGCGCGGCGUAUCCGCGGAUGAGCUCGUCCAGGCGCUCCUGCGUCACGUCCUCCUUGAAGCGUGCCAGCAGGAUGUGCUUCACCACGCCGCCGCUGGCCAUCUUCUUGGUAGUGGUAGGUGAGGCUGCGGUGGGUGUGGGUACCAGCAGUAGUACUUCGCUCUGCUUCUUGGUUCGCUUCUGGGCGACGGACCGCUUUGUACGGGUGAGACUGUGAGAGUUGCGCGAGGUGAGGUUGGGCGGAUCGUGGCUCGUCGGCACGCACUCUCGCCUGGAUCAGGCCAGGCGUAAACAAACACGACGGAUCACGAGGUGGAUGCUUCGAUCUCAGAUUCCCAGAAUCACCGUGAGUUGACCUGGAACAAGAGACUGAAAAGCCUUUUUUUAAUGUAUUAGUUCCGAAAUUUAUUAAGAUUUUUUGUCACAUCAAAUUUUUGAUACAUACAUGAAGUAUUAAAUAUAGAUAAAAACAAAACUAAUUGCACAGUUUACCUAUAGUAUGCGAGAUGAAUCUUUUGAACCUAGUUAGUCUAUGAUUGGACAAUAAUUAUCAAAUACAAACAAAAGUGCUACAUAGCGAAAGCCAAAAGUUGUCACGAACUAGGCCUUGUUUAGUUCUAAAAAUUUUACAAAAUAGACAUUGUACCACUUUUGUUUGUCUUCGAUAAAUAUUUUCUAAUCAUGGACUAAUUAGGCUUUUGUCUCGCAAAUUAUAGGUACACUGUACAAUUAGUUAUUUUUUAUCUAUAUAUUAAUGCUCUAUGCAUGUGCCGCAAGAUUCGAUGUGACGAAAAAUCUGAAAAAAUUUUCAAAACUUGUUGGAAACUAAACAAGGCCUAAACAAGACCUCAUUAAGUAGAAGAUAGGAGUUUUAUAUGUAUAUAGAGUAGCACCGAGGUCUAACACAGCCGGCAACACUAGAAAAGCAGUCAGAGUAAAACUAUACAGAGACUAGUAUAAUGCAUGUGCUAACGCUACGGUGUCAUUCAACCAUACAAAUUAAAACUAAAAUAUUAUUUCUCUGCAUUUGACUUAACCAUUACAACUCAACACGCCAAACGCACAAUGCCAACAAACAUAUAAUCUGGGAUUCCUUUUUACUAAAAAUUGAAUUAAAUUUCUUCAAAGACAAAGGAUACAUGACGCACAAUAUCUUCAACAAUUAUAAUACAACUCUACUAAUUACAAUAAACCAAAUAUAUGACUCAAAAUAUAUAUUGUAACCUCUAAAAUUCUCUUUUUAUGAAACUGAUAUGCAGUUUAUUUUGCAUGUGCCGACUUUUUGUGGUCUCUAUUUUGCAUGUCCCGUGCUUAGCUUAAGUUGCACCUUGCACUCCUGUCCACCUCGACCACCCAGCAGUCAAUACUCAUUUGAAACUGGGAACACAUCCAACUAUCAAAAGGAUACAAUAAUAGUGAAGAGAAUGCGAGACAAUAUAUUUAUUCAGCAUACUUGAAGAAAGAUUGUUACCUGGUUGAUUGUGCUGCAGGGACUGGGGCGGCGGCGGUGGGGGAGGAUGGAGGGGAGCACCUGGUGCGGAGGUGACGAUCGGUUUUUUUUCUUUUUGUCUCGGACUCAUUACGAGGGAAGCCGGGAGAAAGGGUCGGAGUGAAGCGAGGGAGCUGACGGAGGUUUGAUUUGACGUGAGGCUGAGGGUGUGUAAGGUCGUGAUCAUACUUCUAAUCUGGGUCGUUAAAUCUGUAAGACAUGUGCUGUGAGUCGUUGAUCUUGCAGGUGGAAUUUGCCUAGAGAAGAUUUCAAUUAUAUUAGAGAUAUCUCCAACUGCUAAUGGUUAGCUGUUGUAAAAGCCUUCUGUAGGUACUAGAAAGACAGGCGCAACUUUGCCGCGCCCUUGUUGGAUACUCCGAGCAAUGAAUAAUGGAUGUCUUUUUGGCCGCCGACUUUUAUUUGUGGUUGAUUGGAAAUUGUGAAGUUGCUAAAAUCUAAUGAACGUUCUAUUGAACAAUGUCCUUUUUUAUACCUUAAUAUAUUGAACAACGUUUUCUAAAUUUAUUUUAGGAUUAAUGGGGUUAUUCUUUCAGUGGUAUGAAACGUGCUCGUCGAUAGCGAGACGUCUAUGGUGGACUUUCACUACUACACAACUAUUAACCGUGACGGGCACUUUACGUUUACCGCAGCGGACAUUGGCGUCCGCCACGAAUGGAAGGUCACGGUUAAUCGUGGCCUCACCGUGGCGGGCGCCUGUGCCCGCUGCGGAAAACAAAAAAAACCUGGACAGGCCCGCCGAGCCCAUCCAGAGGCCCGACGAGCCCAUCCAGGAAACCCUAGCGCUGCCGGUAGUUGACGGUGUACCAGUGCACGACGACCUUGGCAGCGGCGUAGGGGGAGCGCGGGUGGAAGGGUGUGUCCUCGCUCUGCGGCGGCGGCGUGGAGCUGAACAUCUCCGAGGAUUCGCAUGGUAGUAGCGGAUGGGCUUGCACGAGAGGCGGACGGCCUCGAGCAGGUGGAGCGCCCUCGUGGCGGUGACGUCGGCGGUGUAGUCGGGGACCUCGAAGGAGAUGGCGACGUGCAACUGCGCGGCGAGGUUGUAGACCUCGUCGGGGCCAAUGGCGUCGAGCGCCGCGGAGGGACGAGGAGUCGGAGAAGUCGGCGUAGUGGAGCCGCAUCGGGGGCCGCGGCGACGACGACACCGCGUGGAGGUCGUGGUAGAUGUGGUCCAGCCGCUGCGUGUUGAAGUUAGAGGAGCGGCGGAUGUGGUCCAGCACCUCGUACCUCUUGGACAGGAGCAGCCCCGUGAUGCUCGUGAUCAGCGCCACCUUCCGCGCCGGCGCAAGGGCAGUGGCGGCCGCGCUGUUGGAAUGAGCCAUUUGGGAAGCGAGGGAGGAAGGGGAUUGCAAAUUUGGGGUAGAGGGUUGGCGGUCAGAUCUGCUCUCAUAGGGGGAUGGAGUAUUUAUAUGACCCUUGCUAUCGGGCCGCUGGUGGGUUAUUUGAGCUUCGAAAUUUACUGUGACGGGCAUGAUAGGUUGCCCGCUGCGGUAAAUCAAUUUACCGCAGCGGGCAUCUUAAUAUGUCCGUCACGGAAAAUAUAUAUUUUUCGUGGCGGACGUUUUAAGAUGCCCGCUGCGGUAAAUCGAUUUACCGUAGUGGGUAGGGAUGAAAACGGAUCGGAUAUGGACGGAUAUCACCGAUAUUAUAUUUGUUUUCAUAUUUUUGGUCGGAUUCGGAUUCGAAUACGGAUAAUGUCAAUCAUGUCGGAUAAGAUACGAUUGGAUGUCGACAUCAUAAAUAUACGAUUUAAAUAUUCGGAUACGGAUACGGUACCGGAUGUUGAAUAUUCGGACUCGGAUACGGAUAGAUUUGAACCUCUCUAAACGAAUUCGGUCUCGAAUAAAAUAUCCGUACCGUUUUCAUCCCUAGUAGUGGGCAUCUUAAAACGUCCGCCACAAAAAAUAUAUAUUUUCCGUGACAGACAUAUUAAGAUGCCCGCUGCGGUAAAUCGAUUUACCGCAACGGGCAAAAGUGUCCGUCGCGGUUAAUUAAAAGUGUCCGUCGCGGUAAAUCAUGAGAUUUACCGCAGCGGACAAAAAAAAAACGCCCGCCACGGAGUGAAUAGUAGCAACGUCACGGAAGUUCGUUUCUGUAGUAGUUUUUGUUAAUCUGAUAGAGGUAUGGUGUGCGUGCGUGUGUUGAUAGGGGUGAGCAUGCACUUGUUCAGUGGUAAGCGACGUGGCCAUCGACAGCGAGAUGUCUAUGAUGACCUCGUCAAUCUCAUAAAGGUAGGAUAUGAGCGUGUGUGUUCAUAGGGGGUGGGUAUGCACUCGUUCAGUGAUAGACUGGUAGGCGACGUGUCUGUUAAUCCCAAAGUAUGCACUCUUUUAUGUGAGCGUAUGUGUCUGUAAGGGCACUUUCAAUGUAGAAACUACUAUAGUUUCUAUCUACAUUAAUUAUACUGUCACACCCGGUUUUAGAGAACAAAACCAAGCAAGCCAUAUGUGUGCCCAGGAAGUCCACACAUAUAACAACAGAAAGGAAUAGUAUCAGAAAACAAUGUUAUAUAGCGAAAACAUACAUAUAAUAGACACUUACAUCAGAGUAUCGCGGAAUGAUAACUAAUCUUUAGGCUCAAUCUUCACAGGGACGGUUGACUGGGGUAACAUAUGCCUAGCACUCCUUGUAUCCUGAGAACAUCCUUCAUGACUCCAUCCUUCUAAUCAACUCUUUCUAGUGGACUGGAGUGGUGGGAAAUAGCAAGAGUGAGCACAUAUCGUACUCAACAAGUAUAACCAGGGGUUCAUGAGGCUCAAGUAGCUGACACUGGUUUGACUGCAUUUAGCUUUUAAUAGUGGAUAGCAUAUUCAUAAUUAAGUAGCAAAUGUCAAGGUGGCAUAAAUAAUCCAUUAAUCCCAUGAUCAAGUGUAAGCAUAAUUAAUUCAUAGCAUAAACGAUAAUCAAAUGAACAUAACAACUUAAUAAGCUCAUCGUCGUCGCAGCAAGAACCCCCAAGGCCGCUCAUAACCGUGAGCACGGCUAGUAUACUAGUUUUAACACUCUGUAGAGGUUGUACAUCUUUACCCAUGAGUUAUGAUUUACCCUUUCGCCCGAGGUAGCUAAUCUCUUAACCCCCUUCCUAGGGAGGUCGGCAGGGAUGACUAUGAAGCCUUUCAAAAGUUCGUCUAACAUGUUAGGGCCGCAAGGUUUCCUUUGCGAGCAGAUAUAGAUACCCCCUUCCGAAUGGCACAAUGACGCGCAGCCUAUACACAUAGGGACAGGGGCUCGCACUAUACCCGUGUCGGUUCAGCCCCUCUAGCGCCCUUUCGGGUAACCACUAACAAGCUAGAAAAGGUCUCCAUACUGGGCUAAAGCCAGAGCCAUUAUAGCCCUCAUGGUUGCACUGUUGUCCCGGUGAUCACUUACAGACAAGAUCUCAUAUAGUUAUUUGUCAUCUUAUAACGUUCAUUGCAUAGCUAUUAAUCAUCUUACAAGAUCAUGGAUUAUAUCAAGCACUAGCUCAUCUACACCAAAUGCAUAACAAGUAGGUAGCAAGAAAUACAGGUAACAAUCAUCUAUGAUUUUUCUAAGGUCGACAAGGUGAUAGCAUGCAUAUGAUAUAUAUGUGUAGUUAUAAGUGAAUAGGUAACAAGGAUGAUCCAGUUAUACUUGCCUUAAACACUUGCUCAAUUCUCACACCAUCAGCUUUUGGUCAUCAUCUUCUAAUCUUCCGCGUCCACAAACAGUUCUUGUCUAUUCGUAUCAAGCACCACACAUAGGCAAACAUACAAGCAGCAAACAGAACAACUAAGAACAAUACACCAUACAAGAUAAAAGAGCGUACUAAAAGAUAGCUAAUGCUACAAGGUCAUAAGAAACGCUCAUAACGGAACUAUCGUUACAAAGGAUACGACUAUCGUGACCGCCUACAAGAAGAGAUAAAAGACUACGGAGCGUAUUUAUUUUAUUUCAGUGAAACAAGGUGAUAGAUAUUUUAGAGAAACAUCCUAAAGUGGAAUUAAUCAAAUUGGAUUAGUUACAAAGUCGGAGUUAAAACUUAAUUACAUUUUAAUUAUAAAUAAUUACAUAUAGAAUUUAAUCUAUUUAAGUAUUUGUAAUUUAGAAAUCAUAAAGCAAGUGAGAGCAACUAAUUGAAUAAUCAUGUUUCAAGGUUUAUCUAAGCAGAUCAUAUUUUCACAGACAUUAAUGUUGGUAUUAAUCAUAUUAACAUUUAUUUAUGAAAUACGAGAGCUAUAAACUUAAGUUAUUGUUAAUAAAUUAAAAGACAGGGGAUAAAUAUUAAUCAUAUCAGCUACACAUUUCAUGUUUAGCUAAACCACUAUAGUUAAGAAAUAUUUAAGUUGUCAUUAAUUGUAUUAACACUUAUUGAUUGAUUUAUUUAUUUAUAAAGAUUGAAAUUAUGAACCUAAGCCACUUUUAAUUCAAUAAGACAUAUAUAAGCAUGAAUCAAAUUAAUAUGAUUAAUUAAAUUUAUAAACUCAUAACAUGACAAAUAUUGUUACUAACUCAUAACUUAAAGUUGGUGUGGUCACAACGCAACCAAAAACAGAAUUAUAACCCUAGAUUAAUUUUUAUUAGGAAGCUAUUAAUUAAAUAUUAAAUAAAUUAUAUUUAAAUCAAUAAAUUCAGAAUUGAGUUACAUAAUAAAUAUGUAUACUACUAUGUAGAAUCCGUCGAUAUGAAUCUAAUGCAGCUUAAACCACUCAAAUCGGUCGUAAAACGAAUGAACGACACAGAUUAAACGAGCAGUGGCAAAACCGUAAUAACCUUAUCUUGUACCUUGGUCGUCGUUUCCAUCUGGAUGUGGCCCUGGCCAUGGUUGAGUGCUGAUGCUGCUGCACCAAUUGCACGAGAGGAGGAUGGCCUCUGCGCUGGCCUGCCAACCGGCCGUAGACGGCGCUGGGCACGCACCCACGACGGGCUAGGCUAGGAGUCUUCACGGCAGCCUACCUCCACGGGCUGCACAGAGCCGGCCACGCGAUCAACGGUGGCGCCUAUGGCAGCUGCAAGCAGCGUGCGAGAGAGGCCACGCAAACCACAGGACUCGGCUUGGCGGCGCAGUUUGGCCGUGACGCAGCCAAGGGCCAGGACGGUCGGAACGAAGGAGCUUUGUGGUCGUCAAUGGAGUUUAUCCCGGAAUCUCGUCGGAAAAGCGAUAGAAGGUUAGGAACCAUAAAACUAAUAUGGAUUCGUACAACGAAAGACAUGCCGGUGUAGAGAAUGACGAAACGAACCUCGAGGUGGAAGCGGAACUCGCCAGAGAUGAGGAACGUGGCCGGAAAAGCUCGCCGAACCUUCGUCGGAAGUUCGCCGGAGCUCUAGGUUUCGAAACUUCGGCUUUAGAUAGAAGUGGCGGCUCAGAAGAGCGGUUGUACUUUCGGAAUCAGCGAGUCAAGGCCUAUGCCGACAUAUAUAUAGUGUUAGGGUUUUGGGUUGAUGGAAAAACGAGAUAUUUUAUUAAUUUCGGAAUUAAUUAAUUUCGUGAAUAAAAAUAAUUUUAGAAAGUCCAGAAUUGAUUUUUAAGGUCAAAAAAUACUCCGAAGGCUCCAAAAAUUAUGAGAAAAUUUUUAGAGAUAUUUUAGAACACGAGGAACCCAAAUAAAAUAUUUAUAACUCAUGAAAAGAUAUCUAAAAGUAUUUUAAAAUUAGAUUAUGCUCAUAGGAAAGUGGAAAAGAAUUUCAGAAAAAAAAACUAGAAAACUCCCGAGAAAUUUUAAUAGAUCGAUUGAUGGAAGAUAUACCCAAAAUCAAAAAUUUUGGGGUGUGACAUAUACUGUCAUUUAAAUGUUUUACUAAUGUGGCAAGACAAUUAUUGAAGAAAGAGCAAAAAUCAUGGAAACCGGGUUUAAGUUAGAAACCAUGUCUACACGAGAUCCAAUACACGAAGGGACGAGAUCCAAUACAUGAAGGGUUGAGAUUGGUGCAGAACGAAGAGAGAAUGCAUGUGAUUGGAUAAAAAAUUAUUCUAUAUAAAUUAUCUAUCAGAACUAUGAUUUCCAUAUAUAGUUUCUAGCAUUUGGGACUGCCCUAAUCGGUUUUCGCAAAAAUACCCUUUCUGUGGAAUUAAACAGCAAGUAUAAAACCUCAAUGACUAUUUAUAAAUUAAUACUAGUUCUAAAUUCUGAUAUCACAUAGUAGAGGCCGGCUAAGACAUCAAAUGGGAUUAUAUGUUCUAGACAGUGUCUACUAUUCUUCUAUAAAUUAUAUGGGAUUUAGAAAUCUAGAAAAAUAAUUGAGAAACAAAUAAGGAAACUAAAGACAUAAUUACGUUCAAAAGUUCAAACAUAACAGCUAGCUAGCUUAUCCUGACUACACUUGCAACAAUCCGCUCCAGGCCGCUGCGUGUGGCUCGCAAUUUCCGUGCUCGAGUAUCUGGUACAAGGUCGCGCCAGCACUGUACUCCCUUCUGAAGUCAUUCACGCUAGAGCGAACACAACGAGCCCAACGACCGAACAAGCUUCUUGAGCCAUCGGUAACUCACAUGGCCGCUAGCCAGAGCCGAGACAGUUUCGAUGGUUCGAUAAAGAUCGUACGGUGCAAAAUACAGAGUGACGUGGCCAAAUGAGAGGAGAGAGUAUCUGGUACAAGAUUCGUCUAUUAAAAGAUUGCUUCAAGUCUUUCUUGGCUCGGCCAGCCACCUGAAGUGCUGUGGAGUAUUUGUUGUCAAAGAUUCGGCAUUACCCUCCUUCCAGACAUUUCACAUAAUAUAAAUAGUCAUUUAGUUGAAUUCACGCCGCCCUUUUUGGGAUCGAGGGUAAAUUAAAGGUCGAUUCCAAUCAUAUUAAGGUGUCGGUACUAUUUUGUAUGACCAGCUGGAAGUUGUUGAAAUUCUUCCAAGUUGCAACUAUAGACCAUGGCCUUGUUUAGUUUUUUUUUUUUUAAAAAAGUUCAAGAUUGCUUGUUUUCGUGCACUUCAUGAAAUCAGAUUUGUUCCUAAAAAAACAACAAAGCCUCCAAUAGAUCUUUUGUCAUCUGAGGAACGGUUGGUGAGCUCUCCAGCUAUGGAGGCCACUGGUCAUGAGUUCGAGCUCUGCCCGCAACCUCUCUAUCAUGUGGAGCCACAAUAGGAAUACGAUGUGCCUGUCAUCUACGAUGUCAUGAUGGUCUCAAUGAUCUUAAGAAGGACGCGAUUAUUAUCUAUGUGUAGUUGUAGGUCGAGUAGUGCACGUGUGGUGUGUGUGUGGUGUGCGUGUGUUGUGUAGGUGUGUGUUUCCGUGCCUGAACAGAUCAUGUCAUCUAGAGAAUAACAUCUAAGAAAGCGCUGACAAGCAAAAGACUUGCAUUAGCUAAUUUUCAAUCCAACUUCAAUUGAUUGCUUUAGGUAUCUCAAAAUUCUUUUUACAACAACCCAAUGUACCGUUGUUAGUGCAUGUAAAAACUGACAAACUUUAUUUCUAGAAAAAGUAAUAUCAGGUUAGUAAGAGUCAAAUAUUGGAGAUCGCCAACUAUGCUCCUAUACUGUGUAGCAUAGCUCAGACUCAAAUGAUAUAUCCUUAAAAAGUAUUCCCUCUAUUCUAAAUUGUAAGUGGUUUUGAUUUUUCUAAUACAUCUAUAAAUAAUAUAUUUAAAUACAUAGUAAAAUGGAUGAACUAAAAAAAUAAAAUGAUUUAUAAUCCGAAAAGGAACUGUAACUUCUUACCCGUGACAAUGGAGUACUUACUGGCUUGCAAUCCGUCAUUCCUAUUUAGCCUUGUUUUGAUUUUAUACUAAUAGCACUUUCGUUCAUAUUUAAUAAUUAUUAUCCAACUAUAGACUAAAUAGGUUUAAAAAAAUUGUCUCAUAAAUUACAGACAAACUAUACAAUUAGUUUUUGUUUUCUUCUACGUUUUGUGCUCGAUGCAUGUGCCGCAAGAUUCGAUGUGACGGCAAAUUUUGAAAAGUUUUUGAAUUUUGGAGUGAUCUAAACAAGGCCUUACUUGACGUAGCGAAGUUCUUCCAAACCUUUUAAUGCAAAAUGGUGUGAAGUUUUCCUAAAUCUUUUAAUGCUACAUCUCUCUCUCAAAAAAAAAUUUGUGGCUACAGAGAUGAGCGCCUCUUCGUCUUCAGGUAGCAGAUUUCUGCUGUGCUGCUGCUACUGCUGCAGGGCUGGGUCUGGCCGCAGUGGCCGGAGGCGGCGGUGUCCAGCGCAUCUACGACGGCGGCACUGGCGACCGGGGCAUCCGACCUUAGUUGCCACCGCGCCUCUGCUGGUCCUGUAACCGUCGGCGAGUCCAUGCUGCUAUACUGGGUACUCCAUCCUCACCUCGAGUCCACGACGCGACGCCGAAGAUGUAGCUCCAGCCACAGCCUACAGCCUUUGUGCCGUCCAUCAACAGCUGCAAGGACAUUAGCUGGUGUUGCCUCCACCACUGCCUGCAAUGUGUUCGACAAAAUGUCCCGCUCACUCUAAUUUUCUGUUAAAAGGUUUACAUGCUAAACAUUGAUGCACCUGAUAGAUUUUGCAAAGUUCUCUAUGCAAGACAUGCAAGUUACAUGAUUCUUUGGAACGAAAUCUGCAUGUUUCACAAGAUUUGAUUUCUGGAAAUUAGUUAUUGUGUGAGUCGAUUUGGAUUAGCAAUUGUUUCAAUUCACAAAGGCAUGCUGCUUUCCAGCAUUUUGAUAUAGCCCACCAAAGUCACCAAGACAAUUAGUGUUGGAUCACACAUAUUCAGUGUCCCUUUUUAGCCAUCACGAUGUUUUUUGGUAAGCAUUCUAUGCAACCAGAUGUUGUAGCUAAUAUGAAUUGCUCACAUCUCAGUACUGAAUGUAUAAUGCAAAUGUAGAUUAGAGGAGACAUCCAAUAUACUUCAGUGCCCCUUUUUAGCCAUCAGAUAUUGUUUUUGGUAAGCACUGUAUGCAACCAGAUGUUGUAGCUAAUAUGAAAUGUUCACAUCUUAGUAUUGACUGGAUGCAAAUUUACAGAUCAGAGAAGACAUUCUUAUAUGUUUGAUCUGAGAAACUGGUGGAGCUUAUGAAGCAUAUUAUCAUUGUUACUUGAACAAGAGUCUAUACCACUAGAUGUAGGAGUAGUGCUAUUGGUCUUGCUCAUACAAUCCAGAAGGACCCAGUUACAAAUAAUUUUAUCUAUCAGAAUGGAGCAAUGGUAAGACAGACCUUAUGGUUUCUGUACCUCAAACUAAAAAUGCACUCCAAUGAUUUCCAACGUAUCCAAUUAUCAGACCUUGUUUAUGCUCAUCUACAAUUGAUUUUGUUUUGCCAUAGCAUCAAGGAAUUCUCAAAAGUAUAUCUCAUAAUGCAGUUGUUUAUACGCGUGAACAACAUGGUUCCGAAUCAACAGCUGCAUUCGUUUACAAUGUACAAAUACAAUGGGUUGUGCACAGGGGCGAAGCCACGUUGGCUUUCCCUGGUGCACGUCCACCAUGGUAAAAUAAUAGUUUGUUAAUACCUGCCUUAAAUUUUCCAUAUAUUUUCUUUCAAAUUUUAUACAUUCCUUUAUGUUUGAUAGAGUGUGCACCAGGGUUAGUUUUGAGGUGGCUUCGCCCCUGGUUGUGCAGCUGGUCUGCUCAACGGAGGGCGUGGCAAAGCCUCAUCUGUCUUUCUAGUAGAUUAGUUAAUUCAAAGCAUGAACCAUGAACAUGCCAAAGGUGAAGCCAUACAACACUCCCACGGAUCAUUUCUAAUUUAUAUAAACACACUUACUUUUUUGAACAAUAAAUGUAGAUUACAUAAUUUAAAAUCACAACAUCAAGUAAGGAGCAACGAAAUGAGUAGCAGAUUCUGAUAUCAACUCUUGGUAUCCAUUUUUCUUGUCAGAGAGGCCAAGCCAACAACUGCUUGCACGUAAACCCAGUCAUACAAUGUAUCAUAGAAUGUGAAGCAAGCAAUUCUCCAUUUGGUCUUGAACAAUAGGAUGCAGAAGACUGUCCAGAGCCCUAUCACAAAUCCGGAACUCAUGCCAAGGAAAAGGAAAACAUUGUCGCUUCCAUCCUUGUGAUCUUCUGGAGCAGCAGGGACCAAGUUAGUUUCAGGACAUUUCUUUGUGAGAGGAGGACCGCAGAGACCUGGGUUGCCAACAUAGAUUGAUGCCUGACCAUCGAGCACUUGCAGCUGAUUUCCAGAUGGUAUCUUUCCUGAUAGAUUGUUGUAUGACAGGUUCAAGUGGCUCAAAUAUGUGAGAGCUGAUAAGCUUGUGGGGAUUUCACCGGAUAGCUCAUUGUGUGAUAGGUCGAGGGAUUCUACUUGUGCCAAGUCACCAACUUUUCUUGGAAUUUCUCCACUUAAGGCAUUCCAUGACAAAUUCAAAUUAUUCAGUGCAACAAGAGUGCAGAUCUCUUCAGGUAUCUCACCAGUAAGAUUGUUACAAGAUAAAUCCAGAUUCACCAUAUAAAUUAUUUCUCCUGUGUAUAGCUGCUCUUGACCUUUUGUGACUACAGUAAAACUGUCAUUAUAAUCCAUCAUUUCAAUUGAAUCAAUUAGCAUUCCAGAAGCCAGUGGAUCUUCAUAGUCAUGGUCGUUGUCACCUGUUGCUGUUAGUGUCAUCCUCUUCCAGUUGACAAUAGAUUUUGGUAUGACACCUGAGAAGUUAUUGUAGGCAAAGUCCAAAUACUGAAGAUUAAUCAGAUUCGCCAAUUCCACUGGAAUGUGACCGCAAAACAUAUUAUGCCUUAACCGCAAGAAAGUCAAGGAUGGUAGCUUAUCCCCAAUCCAUGACGGUAAAGUCCCAAGGAAUUGAUUAUCUGACAGAUCAAGGAAUAUGAGUUCCUGGCAGUUUCGGAGAAAUAAUGGAAAUUCACCAGAGAGGUGGUUAUUUCUUAAGCUUAGAGUACGAAUAUGCAAACUUGUCAUGUUUGUUGUGUAUUCAUAGCCCAGGCAAUCAGGAAGCGAUCCAGUGAGAUUAUUACUUGAGAUAUCUAAGAAAUAUAGCAACUGCAGCUUGCAAAAUGAAGAUGGGACAGUGCCAGAAAUGGAGUUGUUAUAUAGAAAAAGUGUUGCAAGCCUGGGCGCUCUAAAAUCCAUUGGCAGUGGACCAUAUAAAUUGUUUCUACUAAGAUCCAGUUCAGUUAUAUUAAUAGGGAGCUUAGGUAUUGGACCACUGAACUGGUUAGAACUUAGAUCCAUUGCAGAAGCUCUCAUAAGUUCCAUUUGAGGUGAUAGAAAACCACUAAUUUGAUUUCUUCUCAUGUUCAGAUAGUAAACCGAAGAAGCCAUUGUCCAGAACCAAUCUGGAACCAUGUCAGAUAUGCUUGUGUUUGAGAUAUCGAGACUGUACAUAUUUGUUUGCCAUCUGAGCCAAGUUGGAAAUUUAGGCCCCAAGAUGCAUGACCGAAGUUCAAGCACUGUAAGAUUAAAGGGAGGAACCCAAGUCGAGUUCACUCUGAUGGCUAUGGAGUUGUCAGACAGAGACACGCUGUCCAAGUUUACUAGCCCUGACAAAUGCCCUUCAUGCAAGUCACCGUCUAGGUUAUUGGAGCUUAGGUCUAACUCUCUUAGAUUUGUGAGCUGUCCUAUCGACAGUGGCACGGGACCGGUGAGGUUGUUGGAGCUUAGGUCCAAGUCAGUUAGAUACGUGAGCUGUCCUACCCACAGUGGCAUGGAACCAGUGAGCUUGUUAUCACCAAGAUCAAGCCAUGCCAAAUUUCUGAAGGUUUCUAAUUUGGCUGGUAGGUUUCCUGUCAGAUUGCUGAAGUGUACAACCAAUGUUUUCAAUUUGUUCCAUGAACAACUUGGUAAACGUUUGAAAAAUUCUGCUAUACUACCAUUGAUGUUGUUAGACAAAAAUAACUCUUCCAGACUACAAAGAUUUUUCAAGUUUGAAGGUAUCAUGCCCACAAGGUCAUUUCCUGAUAAAUCAAGUCGCACCAUGGAGGUCAUAUUCCCUAACUCAUACGGAAAUGGACCAUGCAAGUGAUUGAAUGAGACAUCAAGUUGCUUGAGGCUAGUUAAAUACCAAAACCAGUUGGGUGCGAUAUGCUUGUGGAAACGGUUAGCCGAAAUGCUGAGAGAUUCAAGAGAUGUCAGAUUUGAAUCCGAAAGAGAAUCUGGGCAGGUGCUAAGGUCACAGAAAGAAAGAUCAAGACUCACAAGAGAAGGAAGCAUGUUCACGACGGAAACCCAGUUGGUGAUGGUACUGAGGUUCACCCAGCUCAUGUCGAGGUGCUCAAGGGAUGAUAACCGUGACAGCCAGGUGAUAUCAGUGGAGUGCGUGUCACCAAAAAUGGAAUCAAGAUUCAUGUAACGCAAGUUGGAGAGGUUACCGAGCUGUGGUGGUAUCCUUCCAACUAAGCUGGACAUCGACAGGUCGAGAUAUCUCAAUUCAUGUAAAGAGCCCAGGAACUCAGGUAUUUUCACCAUGCUGAACCGGUUGCAGCUAAGGUCGAGAUACUGCAAGUGCUGCAAAGCAACAAGUGAGGAGCUUAUGUUACCUCCAAGCACCUGCUUAACACAGUUGUAGUAGUCCGGGCCUUGUAGAUCGAGCUUAACAACAUGACCUGUUGUGUUACUGCAUUGGACGCCCUUCCAUUUGCAACAGUUAUCUCCCUCCCCCCAUGAUGACAGGCGGUUUGCAGGGUCUGAAAGGCCAGCUCUGAAGGCGAGGAGAGCUGACCGUUCAUGGGCUAUGCACCUCUUGAAUGUAUUAUUUGUGUGGGUAGAUGCCUCUGUGGAGCUCUUGAUGUGGGUAAAAACGAGCAGGGUUAUGGCUAUCUGGAUGCCGGAGAUGUCAAGCCUGGCCAUGAAAAGAUUCUUGCUUUGCUUUGCUUUGGAUCUAUCUGUUCUUCUUUGCGAGGAGCGCUUUGGUCUGAAGUAAUAUAACAAGUUAAUCUACCUUUAUGUGAUUGAUGUCCUCUGAGUGACUGGUGUGUCAUGAAAAGAUUGGAGAAGCAAUUUCCUAGCUCCUGCCAGUCAAAGUCAUAGUCCAAAAAUUGAAAGAUUGCCGGUGCUAUUCUAGGCCAUAUAUUCGUAAGGCCAAAAUUUCUUUAUGUUAUGUUUUUCAUCAAAUAAUUUCUUUCUUUUUGAGAAGAUUAAACGGAUGUCCAUGCUAUUUAUUGAUAGGGCCUAAAUUGACCAAUGCAAGCACCUUUUUUAUUAAUUUUAUUUAUUAGUUAUCAAUAUUAUUAUUGUUAUCAUCAUCAUUAUUGUUAUUAUUAUGGACGUUGUUGCCACUUGAUUAAGUACUCCCUCCAUUCAUUUAUCUCCAUCUAAAUUAAAAAUUUUUAUUCAAAAUCUCUUUCAUAUUAGUUUGGAACUUGACUAUAUUUAUUGUCCUUUUGCUGCUCAUUACCCACCAUUUGUCUGUAUUUAUUGUCUCUUUGUUGUUUAUUGGUUGUUCUUUGCAUGUGGCUCCUCAUGUAUGCUCAACCCGAGAUGAUUAAAUACAAAGUUGUUGGGGAACAGCUGCAUCCUUCCCCCUGGUAGCGUCGAAGGUUAUCCUUCACCCGAGGAACCUCCGACGCCUGAAGCGUCGGAGGAUAUCCUUCAGGCGUCGGAGGAUAUCCUUCAUCGGAAAAUACUAAUGUUGACGACUCGUCUGGUCGUGCUAAGUGUGUGCAGGGACUGAGACACCGGCGGAGGUCCACGAGCAAGGAAAGGGGGGAACCUCCGACCCUCCCGGGUCGGAGGACGGCGGGAGAACGCUGCCAGGCCGAGGGACCUCCGACUCGACCAGGCUAAGGAGGAACUCCCGGGGUGGCCGGGUCGAGCAACCUCCGGCCCAGCCAGGCAGAGGAACCUCCGACACUGAAGCGUUGAAGGAUCCGCAAUUGGGCGGAGGAUCCAAGCCUCCGACCAGCUGAAGCCCCAGACAGAGGAUAAACGAAGGGCUUGCAAUGUGAAAUUACGCAGGUGACUUAGGGUCAGUAGACUGUGAUGUAAGAAUAUACCGGAAUAUCCCCCCACCGUCACGGGGUAUUUAUGUAAACGUCAUUAGGUCGGUUUCCAGGCCCUAUAUAAGAGGCGUGAUGCCGUCAUUAAUAAAGAGAGAGAGCAUUCACUGUAUUCACCUACUGUUGAGUUCACUGCUCGCUAGCGCUCAAACCUCUCACGGUACCGAGUGAGAAGGUUCUCGAUCCACCGUAUUGCUGGGAAGUGCGGAGAGCAUUUUCCCAACAUUGGCGCCCACCGUGGGGCUCGAAGGAUAACCUGCGAUGGCUGGGAAGAGAACAAGCACCACAAGACCUCGGGCAGAACCCUCCAGGAGAGGAAGGCCGAGGAGGGCCGUGCGGAGCACGUACGCGACCGUGGAGGGAGAAGGUUCUGAGGGCGAGCAGCCAGAGAACGUGCAGCCGGAAACACGCCAGGAACCUCCUCCCGCCGCAGGCCCGGCGCAACCCACGGCAACGCAAGAGCUCCAGCAGCUGCAAACGCAAUUGCAGAACCUUCAGCAAGAGCGAGACCGAAUCGCUGCCGCCUACGCCGCCAGCCAAGAGGCAGCGGUAGCCGCGACGCAAGCAGCCGAGAUCAGGCAGCAGCUUUCAAUCCUGCAGGCAGAAAUCCUUAGCAUGCAACCUCCACCUCAGCCGACGAUCCAGCCCGCUGUUCUGCCCAGCGCCGGCCCAACAUUAGAUGUGCAACCGGCAAACUACGGUGGCAUGCUGCGGAGCACGUUGGACCUUCGUUCCCCUCUGUCCGAAGGAUUGCAGACCUCGCCUUGGCCAACAACCUACAAACCGAUCACGCUCCCUAAGUUCAACGGAAAGGUUGACCCCCGCCAAUUCCUGAUGAGUUUCGAGGCAGCCGUGGCCUCAGCCGGAGGGAAUGAAUCUGUGAUGGCUAAGUCCUUUGUGAUCGCGGCCGAAGGAGAUGCCUUGGUAUGGUACUCGAUGCUUAGGCCCGGGUCGAUCUAUUCAUGGGAGAACCUUCGAGACAAGAUCUUGGCGAAUUUCCAGGGGUUCGCAGUUGAAUCACUAACCUCUACGGACCUGUUCCAGUGUCGCCAAAGUCAGGGAGAGGCACUGCGGGAAUACUUCCAAAGGUUCGUGCAGACCAAGGCCAAAGCACCCGGCGUGCCGGAAGAGGUUGCCAUUGAAGCGGCCAUCAAAGGUCUCCGCAUAGGACCUUUCGCAGCUCACUUGGCCAGAGAGAAACCAGCAUCCAUGCACGAGCUGUACCAUGAGUUCGAGAAAUAUUGCAGGUCAGACAACGACUACCGCAAGAGGUUGGAAGACCAAAACUCUCAGAAGAGGCAGAGCAAUGACAGCAACUCGCAGAAGAAGAACCCUAGCCAUGACAAGCACCGGCCACAGCGAGAGGCUGGGGGACAGAUGAUGAAUAUUGAGCAACCAAGGAAUGACAGGCCGGAACAUAACCGUCCACCGGCGGAAACGUGAGACCCGGAACGCAGACCCAAUCAAGCUGGAAGAGGGGGUCGAAAUGCGGGAUGGCAAAAAAAUCAAAAUCAGCGGCCACGGAAGCAGUAUUGUUUCUUCCAUGGAGAGGAGAAGGGUCACUCCACCAGAGAUUGCCCGGAUGCAAAGGAAACUCAGGAGAGGAUCAAGAGCAGGUCAGCUCCGCAACCUCCGACACUAGUUGCUCAACCUCGGGAGGUAAAUCACACAUUCCCUCAAACCUUCUACCAUUCAUAUGUCGGAGGUUCAAGCCAGCAACACCCAGCUCCAAUUCAGCCAAGCGCGCUAGCCUCCGCUUACUAUCCCAGAUUCCUACCAGCUUGGCGCCCAGCCCAGCAAACCGCGGACCACAACCUUCCACCAACCUAUGUUCCUCCACGACCUCCACAGAUUACAUACAUCGAAACCCCGCAACUCCACCAGCAGUCACUGCCUCCUCCCCCAAACCAGCUACAGUUAGUCCAGGCUCCACCUCCACCGAAAAUCGAACCCCACCCCGAUAAUCAGAUCGGCCCUCAUACACCCCUGCCCACGAUUGGAAUGAUCUUACCAAUAGCUGGAGGGUCCUCAAUGGAGUUCCAGACAAAGAAGCAGAAGAAGGAUCACCUCCGGCUCGUUAACAACGUUGCAGUUCAAGGGCCAGUAAGAUGUACCGAUUGGUCCAGAACCCCAAUAACCUUCACCGAGGAAGAUCUGAGGUUGGAAAGCUACCCUCACACAGAUGCCUUGGUCAUAACAACGAAUGUUGCGGGUUGGGGAGUAAGCAGGAUCUUAGUGGAUUCAGGGAGUUCCGCGGACAUAAUAUUUGCUGGAACCUUUGACCAAAUGAAGCUCAGUAGAAGCCAACUCCAACCUUCGGAGUCACCUUUGAUCGGGUUCGGAGGAAAGCAGAUACAUGCUCUGGGAAAGGUCGCCUUGCCCGUAUCCUUCGGCACAACGGAGAACGCAAGAACAGAGUACGUCACCUUCGAUGUGGUAGACCUGCACUACCCAUACAAUGCCAUAUUCGGGCGAGGAUUCUUGAACAAGUUCAAUGCGGCCGCUCAUAUGGGAUACCUGUGCAUGAAAAUCCCAGCUCUGCACGGAGUGAUAACGGUUCACGGAAGUCAAAAGGAGGCAAGGAACAUAGAGAAAGCAAUCUACAAGUCCUUCCGGAACAUAAACUCCGUAGACUCUACGCAACAUGGAGCUUCCCAUCCACCAGACAUGCCAAGGGGGAAAACAGACCUGGCUGAUCAGGAGGAAACGAAAUGUGUCCCCCUGCAGGAGGCUGUUCCAGAUAAGAAGGUCACCAUCUCCGCCAACCUCAGUAGAGAGGAGGAACUCGAAUUGUUGGACGUGUUGCAAAAGAACCAAGAUAUCUUCGCCUGGAGUGCAGCUGACCUGCAAGGAG
This 27790-nucleotide long non-coding RNA is filed under the name Sorghum bicolor (sorghum). RNAcentral describes it as "long non-coding RNA (SBIC_LNC005507)". Lineage: Eukaryota; Viridiplantae; Streptophyta; Magnoliopsida; Poales; Poaceae. The record is from RNAcentral.